Molecule: ribosomal RNA, 497 nt
Filed under: uncultured bacterium
Lineage: Bacteria
Description: partial 16S ribosomal RNA
Rfam family: Bacterial small subunit ribosomal RNA
Source: RNAcentral
GAUGAACGCUGGCGGCGUGCCUAAUACAUGCAAGUAGAGCGAACAGACGAGAAGCUAGCUCCCUACACGAUAGAGGCGGACGGGCGAGUGAGACGUUGAUAACCUACCUAUAAGACUGGGAUAGCUUCGGGAAAACGGAACUAAUAACCGAUAAUAUAUUGAUAUGCAUGGUUCCAUAGUGAUAGACGGAUUUACUGUAUCUCAUCGCUAGAUCAGCGCCGCAUUAGCUAGUAGGUAAGAUAACGGGUAACGAAGGAAAUGAUGCGUAACCGACCUGCGAGGGUGAUCGGCCACACUGGAACUGGGAAACGGUCCAGACUCCUACGGAAGGCAGCGGUGGGGAACCUUCGGAAUUGGGCGAAAGCCUGACGGGGCAACGCGGCUGGGUUGAGAAAGUUCUUCGGAUCUUAAAACUCGGUGAUUAGGGAGGAACAAUUUGGGAAGUAACUGUGCACGUCUUGACGGUACCUAAUCAGAAAGCCACGGCUAACUACGUG